CAGUCGCCGCGGGAACACGUAGGGUGCGAGCGUUAAUUGGAAUUACUGGGCGUAAAGCGUGCGCAGGCGGUUCGUUAAGACAGAUGUGAAAUCCCCGGGCUUAACCUGGGAACUGCAUUUGUGACUGGCGAGCUAGAGUAUGGCAGAGGGGGGUAGAAUCCCACGUGUAGCAGUGAAAUGCGUAGAGAUGUGGAGGAAUACCGAUGGCGAAGGCAGCCCCCUGGGCCAAUACUGACGCUCAUGCACGAAAGCGUGGGGAGCAAACAGGAUUAGAGACCCCAGUAGUCCCUGUCUCUUAUAC
Molecule: ribosomal RNA, 301 nt
Filed under: uncultured bacterium
Lineage: Bacteria
Description: partial 16S ribosomal RNA
Rfam family: Bacterial small subunit ribosomal RNA
Source: RNAcentral